RNAcentral lists this ribosomal RNA (1091 nucleotides) under uncultured bacterium. Its description in RNAcentral is "bacterial SSU rRNA". It matches the Rfam family "Bacterial small subunit ribosomal RNA", at positions 246 to 1347 of the family's 1533-position model. The record is from RNAcentral.
UAGUUGGCGGGGUAAAGGCCCACCAAGGCGACGAUCCGUAGCUGGUCUGAGAGGAUGAUCAGCCACACUGGUACUGAGACACGGACCAGACUCCUACGGGAGGCAGCAGUGAGGAAUAUUGCGCAAUGGACGAAAGUCUGACGCAGCCAUGCCGCGUGCAGGAUGACUGCCCUAUGGGUUGUAAACUGCUUUUGUACGGGAAUAAACCCUUCUACGUGUAGGAGGCUGAAGGUACCGUAAGAAUAAGCACCGGCUAACUCCGUGCCAGCAGCCGCGGUAAUACGGAGGGUGCAAGCGUUAUCCGGAUUUAUUGGGUUUAAAGGGUCCGCAGGCGGAUCGUUAAGUCAGUGGUGAAAGCCCACAGCUCAACUGUGGAAUUGCCAUUGAUACUGGCGGUCUUGAGUAUGUAUGAAGUUGGCGGAAUGUGUGGUGUAGCGGUGAAAUGCUUAGAUAUCACACAGAACACCGAUUGCGAAGGCAGCUGGCUAAUACAUAACUGACGCUGAGGGACGAAAGUGUGGGGAUCAAACAGGAUUAGAUACCCUGGUAGUCCACACCGUAAACGAUGAUCACUAGAUUUUGGUCGCAAGAUCAGAGUCCAAGCGAAAGUGUUAAGUGAUCCACCUGGGGAGUACGACCGCAAGGUUGAAACUCAAAGGAAUUGACGGGGGCCCGCACAAGCGGUGGAGCAUGUGGUUUAAUUCGAUGAUACGCGAGGAACCUUACCUGGGCUUGAAAGUUAGUGACCGAUCCUGAAAGGGAUUUUUCCGCAAGGACACGAAACUAGGUGCUGCAUGGCUGUCGUCAGCUCGUGCCGUGAGGUGUCGGAUUAAGUUCCAUAACGAGCGCAACCCCUAUCUUUAGUUGCCAGCGAGUAAUGUCGGGGACUCUAAAGAAACUGCCCGUGUAAGCGGUGAGGAAGGUGGGGAUGACGUCAAGUCAUCACGGCCCUUACGUCCAGGGCGACACACGUGCUACAAUGGUAGGGACAGUGAGUUGCAAGCCAGCAAUGGUGAGCUAAUCUAUAAACCCUAUCUCAGUUCGGAUCGAGGUCUGCAACCCGACCUCGUGAAGCUGGAAUCGAAUCCCGC